GACGAACGCUGGCGGCGUGCUUAACACAUGCAAGUCGAACGGGCCCGCCCCUGUUUUUGGGGGUGGGUUGAGUGGCGAACGGGUGAGUAUCACGUGAGUAACCUGCCCCCUGCUCCUGGAUAACUGCUUGAAAGGGCGGCUAAUACGGGGUGUGCCGGCUGGUCCGCAUGGGCCUGGUCGGGAUAGUUUCAUCUUCGGGUGUUUCGGUGGGGGAUGGGCUCGCGGCCUAUCAGCUUGUUGGUGGGGUGAUGGCCCACCAAGGCGGUGACGGGUAGCCGGCCUGAGAGGGUGGGCGGCCAGACUGGGACUGAGACACGGCCCAGACUCGUGCGGGAGGCAGCAGUGGGGGGUAUUGCACAAUGGGCGGAAGCCUGAUGCAGCGACGUCGCGUGAGGGAUGGAGGCCUUCGGGUUGUGAACCUCUUUCUCCGGUGGUGAAGGCCCUGUCCGUUGCGGCGGGGUUGACGGUAGCCGGGGAUGAAGCGCCGGCUAACUACGUG
RNAcentral lists this ribosomal RNA (499 nucleotides) under uncultured bacterium. RNAcentral's name for it is "partial 16S ribosomal RNA". It matches the Rfam family "Bacterial small subunit ribosomal RNA", at positions 28 to 507 of the family's 1533-position model. The record is from RNAcentral.